RNAcentral lists this ribosomal RNA (446 nucleotides) under uncultured bacterium. RNAcentral describes it as "bacterial SSU rRNA". It matches the Rfam family "Bacterial small subunit ribosomal RNA", at positions 330 to 793 of the family's 1533-position model. The record is from RNAcentral.
GCCAGACUCCUACGGGAGGCAGCAGUGGGGAAUAUUGCACAAUGGGGGAAACCCUGAUGCAGCGACGCCGCGUGAGUGAAGAAGUAUUUCGGUAUGUAAAGCUCUAUCAGCAGGGAAGAAAAUGACGGUACCUGAUUAAGAAGCCCCGGCUAACUACGUGCCAGCAGCCGCGGUAAUACGUAGGGGGCAAGCGUUAUCCGGAUUUACUGGGUGUAAAGGGAGCGUAGACGGUGAUGCAAGUCAGAAGUGAAAGCCCGGGGCUCAACUCCGGGACUGCUUUUGAAACUGUGUGACUGGAGUGCAGGAGAGGUAAGCGGAAUUCCUGGUGUAGCGGUGAAAUGCGUAGAUAUCAGGAGGAACACCAGUGGCGAAGGCGGCUUACUGGACUGUAACUGACGUUGAGGCUCGAAAGCGUGGGGAGCAAACAGGAUUAGAUACCCGGGUAC